GUGGGAUGAGGUAGUAGGUUGUAUAGUUUUACGGUCAUACCCGCACUGGGAGAUAACUAUUAAACCUACUGUCUUUCCCAA
RNAcentral lists this microRNA precursor (81 nucleotides) under Gasterosteus aculeatus (three-spined stickleback). RNAcentral describes it as "let-7 microRNA precursor family". It matches the Rfam family "let-7 microRNA precursor family". Rfam says of the family: This family represents the microRNAs (miRNA) let-7 and mir-98. let-7 was identified from a study of developmental timing in C. elegans, and was later shown to be part of a much larger class of non-coding RNAs termed miRNAs. The extents of the hairpin precursors are not generally known and are estimated based on hairpin prediction. The products are thought to have regulatory roles through complementarity to mRNA. Lineage: Eukaryota; Metazoa; Chordata; Actinopteri; Perciformes; Gasterosteidae. The record is from Rfam by way of RNAcentral.